UCUUGGACUGGAAACCUGGUCUCAGUGGCCAGAAUCAAUGAUUGUGUUACCAAAUGAACUGGUGAGUGUGGCACUGGCAAUGUUGGCUGAAGACAAGCAAAAAAAUCGUGUUCUAUAUAAUUCGUUGCUGUGGAGAAUUCGAUCUAUUUGACUAGGAAGAGCUUUCUUUUUACGAAACAAUAAUCAUGGGACGUCAAAGAAACGAAAUUGUGAUUUGGUAUCGCCUUUCAAAUGCAGAUCAUGUGAUAAUUAACCCUCCAGAGAAGUCAAAACCAAGAAAAUGGCCCCUUGAUGAUGCUUUUUGUUGUUAUCUCCUUGGGUGAAUGACUGUAAACAAUUGAUGGUUUAUGGUAUCAUAGCAUCUAUUAGUCUUUUCUUUAUAUUUUAUCCAACUCUACAAAAAUUCUCUCCCCAUGCUUCAACCUCCCUUGUAGGUACAUGGCCAGUUGUAACUGAAAAAAAUAUUCUGAAAAUAUUUUGACCAAAAGAGAUGGUUACUUGUAGGGGUAAAUUUCAAUAACUAUCCCUGAACUUAUAUAGUUGUAACACUACAGUUCUUAAACUUUAAAACGUAACAUAAAACUCCCUAAACUUUCAAAUUUUGCAUAGUAAAAUCCUUUAACUUUCAAUUACUGAUUUUUCGGUUGAACACUGAUGUAAACAGCUCCCAUAUGGCUCUCAGUCAACAUUUCUCUCUCCUCUCUUAUUUUAAUUGUAAAAUUAUUUUCUCUACACCUGAAAAAUCAUUCUGUUUACAGUGAGAAAAAUGAUUCAAUUUGCACAUAACUUGAGAGAGAAAAGAGAAAUAUUGAUUAAACUCCACGUUAAAACUGUUUAGGUCAGCGUCUAACUGAAAAACCGACAAUUAAAUGUUAGAGAGAUUUUACUGUGCAAAAUUUGAAAGCUGAAGAGGUUUUAUGUUACAUUUUUAAGUUGAAGGACUAUAAUGUUAUACUAGAUAAGUUCAGAGACGGUUGUCAAAAUUUAUCCUUACUUGUAGAUCACAAACUUUCAAAUUUGACUCUGUAAAGUAUGUUUUGUACAAUUAUAACAUAGUACUGUGAACUGAAAAAUGAGUUGAUCAUGUUCAAAUGACAGACCUUUCAGUAUUCCUCAUUAGUUCCCCAAUUGUUAAUUCCCAAAUAGAAUUAUCUUGCCAUACUGCAUUACAACUCUUCAUCAAUUCCAUAAUUUUAUGUUUUCUUUUUCUUAUAACUUGUAUUCUCAAGUUCAUUGUUCACAACACCGCAAAAGGGGAUGGAAAAAAUAAGAACAAAAAGGGUGGAAGAGAUAGUGUGAGAGAAAGAGAGAGAGAGAGAGAGAGAGAGAGAGAGAGAGGAGUAGACACAGAUCAAACAAAUUUAAGAAGCAUACUGUUUCAAUGGAACUUGAGAAACUCCUUAUCAAACAAAAGCAAAAGCUAACCCCACCACUUCAAUUUUUCUCACAUUAUUUCUUUACACAAAUGUAUACAAAACAAUUUUUUCAGAGUAGUGAAUCAAAACUUGCAUUGGUCACCCUUCCAAUCCCUUAGAUCGAAAUGUCCAUCAUGUCCACCACCAAGUUAUCCAUCAUCAGAGACGCAACACCUCCGGAACAAGCCAUCUCCCAGCUUCUCUUCCCUGCAUUUUCAUUCAAAAAUGUUAUAAUCCAGCUUUUGACAGUUUUAAUUUAGACAAAAUCUAGAAUGAAUUUAAUACAUACCAUAAUAUGUUGGUGAUGAUGUAAGCUUUCCAUUGGCUUUAGGUAGCUUGAAAGGGCAUGAAGAAAGGGGAAGAACUGGGAGAUUUUGACAAUUACAGAUCUCAACCAUGUAGCCAUCUGGAUCAUGGAAGAAGAGCUGAUCAACUGUAAUGCCACCUUCUUCCACAACUGCUGUCACAUACUCAAUGUUCUUCUCCUCUAGUUUUUUAACAACAAGAUC
Hevea brasiliensis (rubber tree) is the source of this 1924-nucleotide long non-coding RNA. RefSeq lists it as uncharacterized. The record is from RefSeq and is a predicted model, not a curated record. Lineage: Eukaryota; Viridiplantae; Streptophyta; Magnoliopsida; Malpighiales; Euphorbiaceae. The transcript is spliced from 2 exons.